This 717-nucleotide ribosomal RNA is filed under the name Bacillus thuringiensis. Its description in RNAcentral is "bacterial SSU rRNA". It matches the Rfam family "Bacterial small subunit ribosomal RNA", at positions 54 to 749 of the family's 1533-position model. Lineage: Bacteria; Bacillati; Bacillota; Bacilli; Caryophanales; Bacillaceae. The record is from RNAcentral.
CAUGCAAGUCGAGCGAAUGGAUUGAGAGCUUGCUCUCAUGAAGUUAGCGGCGGACGGGUGAGUAACACGUGGGUAACCUGCCCAUAAGACUGGGAUAACUCCGGGAAACCGGGGCUAAUACCGGAUAACAUUUUGAACUGCAUGGUUCGAAAUUGAAAGGCGGCUUCGGCUGUCACUUAUGGAUGGACCCGCGUCGCAUUAGCUAGUUGGUGAGGUAACGGCUCACCAAGGCAACGAUGCGUAGCCGACCUGAGAGGGUGAUCGGCCACACUGGGACUGAGACACGGCCCAGACUCCUACGGGAGGCAGCAGUAGGGAAUCUUCCGCAAUGGACGAAAGUCUGACGGAGCAACGCCGCGUGAGUGAUGAAGGCUUUCGGGUCGUAAAACUCUGUUGUUAGGGAAGAACAAGUGCUAGUUGAAUAAGCUGGCACCUUGACGGUACCUAACCAGAAAGCCACGGCUAACUACGUGCCAGCAGCCGCGGUAAUACGUAGGUGGCAAGCGUUAUCCGGAAUUAUUGGGCGUAAAGCGCGCGCAGGUGGUUUCUUAAGUCUGAUGUGAAAGCCCACGGCUCAACCGUGGAGGGUCAUUGGAAACUGGGAGACUUGAGUGCAGAAGAGGAAAGUGGAAUUCCCUGUGUACCGUGAAAUGCCUAGAGAUAUGGAGGAACACCCGGUGGCCAAGGCGACUUUUCUGGGCCUCUAACUGACACCUG